CUCUGAGAUGAUAUGAGUGUGUGGAUUAGGCCACUGUAGUGCAAUGGAGCAACUGGAAAAAAAAAAAAAAAGCCCUGUGCAGAUAUACACAGAGGGAAGGCCAUGUGAAGACAUAAGGAGGAGAUGGCCAGCUACAAGUCAAGGAGAGAUGCCGUGGAAGAAACCAGUCCUGCUGACACCUUAAUCUCAGACUUCUAACCUCCAGAACUGUGAGGAAACAAAUUU
Molecule: long non-coding RNA, 225 nt
Filed under: Mustela putorius furo (domestic ferret)
Lineage: Eukaryota; Metazoa; Chordata; Mammalia; Carnivora; Mustelidae
Description: lncRNA (ENSMPUG00000027279.1)
Source: RNAcentral